AAAUAACACACUUUUCUGCAAAUGCAAAAAAGUAGCCAAUUCACACUAAGGCUGUUUGCUACAAGUCACAUCUCAUUAGGCCAACAACACAGGAUUUUUUAUUUAUUUAUCCAACUGGCCUCGUUCUGCUGGGUCACAUAACUGCACACGGCCAGCAAGGUCCUAUCUGACAGAGACGGGGGCAAGAUGUCAUGUCACCGGACGCACGCUGCAGAGUCUCUGCUGGCUGCAGCGUCAACAAGCCGUGUCCAUACAUUCAGAGGUCUCGCACGGGGGGGAACUUCUACUGCGGUCCAUCUGCUGGAAACAAAAGGUUUCUGGGGAUAUACAAAAUGAAAAACCUGAUUCACCCAGUAUUCUCUGGCACCUAGAUAACCAACCAUUCCAGGUCUGAUCCUCAGAUAUCUUCAUAUUGGGUGAAGCAACCUGUGGUAAGUGGGCUAUUAAGUCACAGAAGGUUCAGAACCCCCCGGGUUGGUGUCCAAGUAACAAGUGGUGGUUUUUCAGUCAGAGCGCUCUCCAUCAUCGCCUUUACCUCGACCCA
Gasterosteus aculeatus aculeatus (three-spined stickleback) is the source of this 544-nucleotide long non-coding RNA. The record is from Ensembl. NCBI's taxonomy places the organism in Eukaryota, Metazoa, Chordata, Actinopteri, Perciformes, Gasterosteidae.